UAUACUUACAUAAGUAUACAUACUAUUUAUCUAGGUCAUAUGCUUCUUCAAGCGAGGUUUUCAACGAGAAACGUCCGUUGGCCAGUGUCCAUGAGUGAGCCAGUAUAUAGAAAAAAUCCCUAACUAAAAAAAAGGAGACGGCUGAUCCGAAAAACUCGGUACGUUGGAAUUGGCUCGAACUACAUCAAUUCAAAACGAACUCAGUAUUACAUAGGCACAUAGGCGUGCCGAAAAUAAAGCAUUCGUCUCGAGUAAUCGUGUGGAGAAGCUAUUUUUCUGUAGAAUAAUCUAAUGUGUUCCAAUAAACCACGUAAAGUGUUUCGCAUAAAAUUUAAUUCGGUAAUAUAUUGAAA
Long non-coding RNA from Bombyx mori (domestic silkworm), 353 nucleotides. RefSeq lists it as uncharacterized. The transcript has 2 exons. NCBI's taxonomy places the organism in Eukaryota, Metazoa, Arthropoda, Insecta, Lepidoptera, Bombycidae. The record is from RefSeq and is a predicted model, not a curated record.